RNAcentral lists this ribosomal RNA (720 nucleotides) under uncultured archaeon. RNAcentral describes it as "bacterial SSU rRNA". It matches the Rfam family "Archaeal small subunit ribosomal RNA", at positions 83 to 806 of the family's 1478-position model. The record is from RNAcentral.
UGAUGGCUCAGAAACCCCUCUUUAACCUGCCCUAUAGUCGGGAAUACCCUGGGAAAACUGAGGUUAACACCGGAAAAAAAACUUCUACGGGAAGGUGUUGUUUUUGAAAGUUAACGCUGAAGAAUGAGUUGGCGCCCCAUUAGUUGGUUGGUAGUGUAAGGAACUACCAAGGCAACGAUGGGAAGGGACCCUGAGAGGGGAACCCCCAAGAAGGACACUGAAACACUGGUCCUACCCCUACGGGGGGCAGCAGGCGCGAAACCUUUACAAUGCACGCAGGUGCAAUAAGGGGAUUCUCAUUGCUCAUGCUUCGGUAUGGGUUUUUGCCAAAAGUAAAUAUCUUGACAAAUAAGGGGGGGGAAAGACUGGUGCCACCCGCCGCGGUACCACCACCCCCACGAGUGGCAAUCGCGUUUAUUGGGCCUAAAGCGUUCGUAGCCGGAUAAAUCAUUCUUGUGUAAAAUCGAUGCGCUAAACAAAUCGGCUUGCUUGAAAUACUGUCUAUCUAAAGACCGGGAGGCGUAAAAGGUAUUCUGGAGGGAGCGGUAAAAUGCUAUAAUCUCCGAAGGACCACCUGUGGCGAAGGCUUCUUACAAGAACGGGUCUGACGGUGAGGAACGAAAGCUAGGGAAGCAAACCGAAUUAAAUACCCAAGUAUUCCUAGCCGUAAACGCUGUGAACUAGAUGUUGCACAUUCUUUAUGGUUGUGCAGUAUCGAAG